This 571-nucleotide ribosomal RNA is filed under the name Carpetania elisae. Its description in RNAcentral is "Hormogaster elisae partial 16S ribosomal RNA". It matches the Rfam family "Bacterial large subunit ribosomal RNA", at positions 1857 to 2830 of the family's 2925-position model. Lineage: Eukaryota; Metazoa; Annelida; Clitellata; Crassiclitellata; Hormogastridae. The record is from RNAcentral.
UCCUGCCCAGUAACAAAGAUCAACGCCGCAGGUAUCCUAACCAUGCAAAGGUAGCAUAAUCACUGGUCUAUUAAUUGUAGACUAGAAUGAAAGGAAAAACGAAAUAUAAGCUGUCUCUAUAGAACAAACAAAAAUUAAUCUCUAACUGAAGAGUGUUAGAUAACAUCGAAGGACAAGAAGACCCUAUAGAGCUUUAUCUUAACAAGAAGUAAUUUAUAGGAUUCGGUUGGGGCGACCAAGGAUAUUAUUUAUCAUCCUUUAUAAAUAGAUUUAUAAAUCCAAAUUUUGAUAAUUAAAACCAAGCUACCUUAGGGAUAACAGGCUAAUCCUGCUAGAGAGUCCUUAUCUAAAGCAGGGAUUGGCACCUCGAUGUUGGCUUAGGGAAACUAUGUGAUGCAAAAGUCACAUAAAGAUGGUUUGUUCAACCAAUAAAUCCCUACAUGAGCUGAGUUCAGACCGGCGUAAGCCAGGUUAGUUUCUAUCCACGAUCCUAGCCAUAGUACGAAAGGACCUGACUAAGGGUAAAUCAAUAAAAGAAUUAAUAUAAUAAUCUUCUAGUACUAAAUACUAU